Molecule: long non-coding RNA, 2477 nt
Organism: Helianthus annuus (common sunflower)
Lineage: Eukaryota; Viridiplantae; Streptophyta; Magnoliopsida; Asterales; Asteraceae
Exons: 2
Source: RefSeq, a predicted model, not a curated record
CCUACUUUUUCUUUCUAUCAAGAUUUCUAAUAUUUCUUUUAUUAUUUUCAUCUAUAAUAAUAAUAAAGUUUUGCCCCGUUUUAAAUGUUUUAACUCCCGAUCACCGCUACCCUUUCCGAUUGAUCUGGAGCCCCAUAACGCAUAUCAAGGCUCUGCCCGACUAAGUUUGUUGGGGUUCGGUCUCGUGACAUCGAGAUAAGGUUGAAUUAGGGGUACUAUACUUACCACGAGUGCAUUAUAUAUUUUUAAAAUAGCUCAGAAGUUAUACCCAAGAUUAUACCAGGAGGCUUUCUAGUUGAACCCUAAAGUUACAAAGUGAGUCCAUUCUCUUUUCUCACCAUUUUAUUCCCUUUUUGUGAUAUAAUUAUAUUCAAAAAUGUCCCAAACCGACCCAUAAGUAAAAACCCGGACCCCUGAAACCCCAAUCCAUAUCAAAAAUCAAGAAAUCAAGAUUUGUGGUCUUCAGACGGGCCGCGUAAAGAUUCAGCAUAGUCAUACGCGGGCCGCGUAAAGAUUCAGCAUAGUCUUACGCGGGCCGCGUCAAUGUGGAGUUGACCGGAUAAGCGUCCAGAUCCAUGUGUCACCCACAUGGCACACCUACUCGUGACCCAGCAAACCUAUACGUAGACUAGACCUCCUCGCGGGCCACGUAAGGUUGGUCUUAGGGUUCACGCGGGCCCGACAACCCUAGAAAUCAGCUAUAAAUAGUUUGGUCAUGAGCAGUUCGUCUGUGUUCGACAAAUUCUCUCAAAAUGAAGAUUUACUGCAUAAAAUGUAACAUCCCAAAUUCUUCCUACCCAAUUUUAUUUUGUGAGAAAUUACCGAAUCUAGUUUGCGAGCACGAGACGAAGCAUGGUUUUAAUCACAACAAAUUUAAUUUGGUGAAACUUGAGGGGGCACUAGGUAAUUUAUAAAACUAUAACAUAUUACUUUAUGGACAUGUUGAUUUAUGGAAGAACUAAAGGGACUUUAUUGUAAAUUCUCAAUUUAUAUAACCAUUCUCCUUUCAUCACGUAAAAAAAAAAAUCUAGAGAUCUUCAUCAUCAUCUUUGCGAAACCCUAUUGCGCCGCAACCACCAUCCAAAACAUGUAUCCUUCAUCUCAUUUAACAUGAUCAAGCACGAACCUUGAUUCCUUCGCGACUUCGGAUUCAUCUCAAGAGGCCUGUAUUGUUCCGGUAGCGGUAGCGGAAACAAGAUUGAUCAGGUUAGUUCAUAUGCUUUGAUCUCGUUUCGCUUAAGUCGUUGUAUAAGAGUUCUUGGGGUCGGGUUGUCGGCUGAAAACAAAACCAUGUUGAGACGCGUUAGAUCAGGAUUCCGGGGUUUCGAAGGCUGCCAUCUAAGAGCUCUUGAAGCUUGGUUGGUGUUGAUCUCAAACUACAGUACGGGUACAUAAUCUUUGAAAAACUCACGGUCUUCUCUGAUGGUUGGGUUCGGGAUGAACAAAACGGUUUGUCGGAAUCACGACCCGCACAUGGUAGGGUCACGGCUUGGGUGGUUAAAAGAAACCCGAUUAGAUUUACAUGUUGUUGAUUAUCCUAAAUUAAUCACGACAGGAACUUGAAGCCUUGUUACAUGACAGAACCGAGCCGUGAGUACUGUGUAGUUGGCGAUAUGGCGUGGCUUCUUUGUUAAGGUGCUUGUGGUUAAGGUUUAGGGUGGUAUAGUGGUUGUGAAGUUGUGAUUAUGAAGACAACAUGGAAUUAUAAUUAUAUACCUUGAUACAUGGGGUGUAGGUGUGUGCAUGAUACUUUAUAAAUCAAGUCUAAAGUGGCUCAAGGAUGACAAGACGAUGAUGACUUGAAAAAAACAUAGAAGUUUGUAAUCUCAUGGUGGUUAUAUCGUGCAUGCAUCAGCUAAGUGGAGGUAUGCAGUUUAGGUUUUGAUAUUAUAAUUAACUGUGUUUUUUUAAGCAUGCAUGUAUAUUAGAAAAAAAAAGAAAAAAAAAAGGAAAUGUAUUAGGAAGGUGGGUUACGAAUGGUGGUUUAGGUUAGAGUGUAUAUGAGCAUGAUGCAUGAUGCAUGAUGCUGAUGUUUGGUGAUAACAGCGGUGAUGGUGUUGGUAGAUAGUGAUGAAGUUGAUUGUGUUCGAUGCAUAAAGGAAUAAAUAAUAAAGAAACAAGAACACAACCGAGCACAUAGAUCAAAAGUCUACAGCAACAAAGAAAAGCAAGCAAGCAGGUAACCAGGCAAAUUAAUUAAACAAUCAGACAGACAGACAGGUAGAUGAAGCUAUUCGACGGUUCACAUCCUUGUUUGUUCUAGCUUUUGAUAACUCGAGAAUUACAUUCAGAUUGAUUUCAGGUUAGCUGGAUGCACGAUGACCUCUUGGAUGUUGCAUGAAGCUAUCCAGUAUAUGAAGUUGGCAUUUCUAGUUGAAGACGAUGCUUUAAGAAAUAAAUUUUAAACAUUAAAUUUUGUAUUUUUAGUUUGGAUGUUUCCAUGCUUUGGUAAUUUGACUUAAACGUUUUCCGCUGCG